RNAcentral lists this non-coding RNA (47 nucleotides) under Mytilus galloprovincialis (Mediterranean mussel). It matches the Rfam family "Histone 3' UTR stem-loop". From Rfam's summary of the family: The mRNAs of metazoan histone genes lack a poly-A tail. Lineage: Eukaryota; Metazoa; Mollusca; Bivalvia; Mytilida; Mytilidae. The record is from RNAcentral.
UUAACGGUCCUUUUCAGGGCCAUCAAUAUUUUACAAAAAGAUUCUAU